UAGAAUGCAGAAAGAAGGGUGUGUCA
Molecule: non-coding RNA, 26 nt
Filed under: Mus musculus (house mouse)
Lineage: Eukaryota; Metazoa; Chordata; Mammalia; Rodentia; Muridae
Source: RNAcentral